This is a non-coding RNA of Photobacterium iliopiscarium, 98 nucleotides long. The record is from Rfam. Lineage: Bacteria; Pseudomonadati; Pseudomonadota; Gammaproteobacteria; Vibrionales; Vibrionaceae.
GGAGGAGCCUCUGGAGAGACUCGUUAAAUCGAGCGCCGAAGGAGCAAACCGUAGCAUAUUACGGUGAAACUCUCAGGCAAAAGGACAGAGGAGAUAAG